GGCCUCGUCGUCUAAUGGAUAUGACGUUGGUCUUCGGAACCAAAGGUUGUGGGUUCGAGUCCCAUCGGGGUCG
Molecule: non-coding RNA, 73 nt
Organism: Cryptosporidium ubiquitum
Lineage: Eukaryota; Apicomplexa; Conoidasida; Eucoccidiorida; Cryptosporidiidae
Source: Rfam